AUCACUGCGCCUCCAGGAGCCUUCCGAAGCAGUCGAAAAAAUCCUGCAGCCUCACGAUUCGGAGCCAUAUAAGGCGAAAAUGCUCGAAAAAUCAGGAUGUGUACUUUUCUUGGACCUCAUCGAGCAAUUACAAGUCGUCGACUGCACCCUCCGCAGAGCACUGGACGUGUUGAACUUCCUAGAUGGAGAAUUCUGUCGGAUAUGUGAUGAAAGGUCGAACGAGGAGGCAAGGGAAAAGGAUCUUCUGAUGGAGGAAUACGACCGACUUACGGAGUCUAAAAUCAUAUGGACGAAACGAAUAAAAUCAAUUGACGCUGACCUCGCGGAGCUUUCGGCGGAACUCAAGCGUCUGCAAGCCCCUGUGUAGGGUGAGAUCCGAAUCGAAUUGCGCCUGGAAUCGAAUUAAUCAUUCGUGGAAAAAUUCCAAAUAGGCUCACCCUGCGACUAUCGACUAGCCCGGAAGACGGUUCUUCAACGUAUGCGCUCGACAUGAAGGAGUCCGACGGAAGAUUUGGCCAUUAGCCUCUCCAUCUCAUCAAUCUAGGAACCCCUCCGCUCGGAUUUUUAAGAUUUUCACGACUCUUAUCGAUUCCCGAAGGACUGUAUCUGGCAGGAGUCAAAUUCCUGAAACAAAAGCUCCAGCGGAAAGGAAGCACGUUUUACCUUUUGGAUCGACUCAAUCUGUGUGAUGAACAUAAACCGCGACCCGAGGGUUGCCUCGACUUGACAAUCUUAAUAAACGUCAUCUUUUACAUGAACGCU
Molecule: long non-coding RNA, 762 nt
Organism: Galendromus occidentalis (western predatory mite)
Lineage: Eukaryota; Metazoa; Arthropoda; Arachnida; Mesostigmata; Phytoseiidae
Exons: 5
Source: RefSeq, a predicted model, not a curated record